This 384-nucleotide ribosomal RNA is filed under the name Raddaella batesii. RNAcentral describes it as "partial 12S rRNA". It matches the Rfam family "Bacterial small subunit ribosomal RNA", at positions 793 to 1380 of the family's 1533-position model. Lineage: Eukaryota; Metazoa; Chordata; Actinopteri; Cyprinodontiformes; Nothobranchiidae. The record is from RNAcentral.
UGCACAGCCUUAAACUUUGUUAGACAAUUACGACAUCUAACCGCCAAGGGACUACAAGCAUAAGCUUAAAACCUAAAGGACUUGGCGGUGCUUUAGACCCACCUAGAGGAGCCUGUUCUAUAACCGAUAACCCCCGUUAAACCUCACCUUCUUUAGUCAUCCCCGCCUAUAUACCGCCGUCGUCAGCUUACCCUGUGAAGGUUUAUUAGUAAGCAAGAUUGAUACUAUCCAAAACGCCAGGUCGAGGUGUAGCAUAUGAGAAGGAAAGAAAUGGGGUACAUUUUCUACUUCAGAAAAAACGGAAAUUGCCAUGAAACAGCAUAUUAAAGGAGGAUUUAGCAGUAAGCAGAGAAUAGAGAGCUCAGCUGAAACUGGCCCUGAAGC